AUUGAACGCUGGCGGCAGGCCUAACACAUGCAAGUCGAACGGUAACAGGAAGCAGCUUGCUGUUUCGCUGACGAGUGGCGGACGGGUGAGUAAUGUCUGGGAAACUGCCUGAUGGAGGGGGAUAACUACUGGAAACGGUAGCUAAUACCGCAUAACGUCGCAAGACCAAAGAGGGGGACCUUCGGGCCUCUUGCCAUCGGAUGUGCCCAGAUGGGAUUAGCUAGUAGGUGGGGUAACGGCUCACCUAGGCGACGAUCCCUAGCUGGUCUGAGAGGAUGACCAGCCACACUGGAACUGAGACACGGUCCAGACUCCUACGGGAGGCAGCAGUGGGGAAUAUUGCACAAUGGGCGCAAGCCUGAUGCAGCCAUGCCGCGUGUAUGAAGAAGGCCUUCGGGUUGUAAAGUACUUUCAGCGGGGAGGAAGGGAGUAAAGUUAAUACCUUUGCUCAUUGACGUUACCCGCAGAAGAAGCACCGGCUAACUCCGUGCC
RNAcentral lists this ribosomal RNA (492 nucleotides) under uncultured Escherichia sp. RNAcentral's name for it is "bacterial SSU rRNA". It matches the Rfam family "Bacterial small subunit ribosomal RNA", at positions 30 to 509 of the family's 1533-position model. Lineage: Bacteria; Pseudomonadati; Pseudomonadota; Gammaproteobacteria; Enterobacterales; Enterobacteriaceae. The record is from RNAcentral.